RNAcentral lists this ribosomal RNA (253 nucleotides) under uncultured bacterium. RNAcentral's name for it is "partial 16S ribosomal RNA". It matches the Rfam family "Bacterial small subunit ribosomal RNA", at positions 524 to 776 of the family's 1533-position model. The record is from RNAcentral.
UACGUAGGGUGCGAGCGUUGUCCGGAAUUACUGGGCGUAAAGAGCUUGUAGGUGGUUUGUCGCGUUGUUCGUGAAAUCUCACGGCUCAACUGUGAGCGUGCGGGCGAUACGGGCAGACUAGAGUACUGCAGGGGAGACUGGAAUUCCUGGUGUAGCGGUGGAAUGCGCAGAUAUCAGGGGGAACACCGGUGGCGAAGGCGGGUCUCUGGGCAGUAACUGACGCUGAGAAGCGAAAGCGUGGGGAGUGAACAGG